GAACCGUACAAACGUUAUUCGGAAUUACUGGGCUUAAAGGGUGCGUAGGCGGUGUGGGAAAGUUGGGGUGUGAAAUCCCUCGGGCUCAACCGAGGAACUGCGCUCAAAACUGCCAUGCUAGAGGGAGACAGAGGUGAGCGGAACUUAAGGUGGAGCGGUGAAAUGCGUUGAUAUCUUAAGGAACACCGGUGGCGAAAGCGGCUCACUGGGUCUCUUCUGACGCUGAGGCACGAAAGCUAGGGUAGCGAACGGGAUUAGAUACCCCGGUAGUCCUAGCUGUAAACGAUGAGCACUUGGUCGGAGGGCCUUCCAUAGCCCUCCGGCCGUAGCGAAAGUGUUAAGUGCUCCGCCUGGGGAGUAUGGUCGCAAAGGCUG
RNAcentral lists this ribosomal RNA (375 nucleotides) under uncultured organism. Its description in RNAcentral is "partial 16S ribosomal RNA". It matches the Rfam family "Bacterial small subunit ribosomal RNA", at positions 527 to 896 of the family's 1533-position model. The record is from RNAcentral.